UACGUAGGGUGCGAGCGUUAAUCGGAAUUACUGGGCGUAAAGCGUGCGCAGGCGGUUUGUUAAGACAGGUGUGAAAUCCCCGGGCUCAACCUGGGAAUGGCGCUUGUUACUGGCAGGCUAGAGUGUGUCAGAGGGAGGUAGAAUUCCACGUGUAGCAGCGAAAUGCGUAGAGAUGUGGAGGAAUACCGAUGGCGAAGGCAGCCUCCUGGGAUAACACUGACGCUCAUGCACGAAAGCGUGGGGAGCAAACAGG
Molecule: ribosomal RNA, 253 nt
Filed under: uncultured bacterium
Lineage: Bacteria
Description: partial 16S ribosomal RNA
Rfam family: Bacterial small subunit ribosomal RNA
Source: RNAcentral